UUCCUAUGGCUUGUGGAGUCUUCUAGAUGAUAGAAAAUUGGCGCACACGUUAAUAUCUCUACGUAAACCCGACAUGUGGGCCUUUCCUCCAUGAUUCCUAAUAACCCCCUGCAGAAAUAGACAAACAGCAAAACUCGUGGAAUUCUGUCAGAUGAAACCCUAAGUCUGGGUGUUGGUUGCAUAUAAGUCCUUUUCCAUGAUUAGUUGACGGUUAAAUGUGAGCAUUAAGGACCGUCAACAAGCUCCCCCAAGCUUAACCUUUGCUCGUCCCUGAGCAAAGCUAAAAUCAGCAAGAAAACAGGUGUUACUUUUAUGCCUCUUACCAUGGGGUUUUUAAGUUAUCACUAAAGUCUUUAGUGAUUGAAAACAGAACGAUCAAGUCAAGCACAAUGUCUCAAGUUCUUCUGUCUUACCUUUGUUCUGGUGUUUUUUGUAAGUUUCCAAAAUAAAACUGAGGCAUCUGCCUUCUUCUCGAAAGAUAUAUAAGUAGAGCUUUAAAAGUUUUAGCAUACUUACUUUGCAUUUUGCUAUGUCAAAAUUCAGAGCAAGGGAGAGGAAUGUUAUACUCCAAGAUCAAGACCUUUGACCUUUUUUGAAAAGUUUGUCAUCCCUUACUAGCAUAUUGCUUAUUAGAGGGACCAUGGGCUAUCAUUUUUUUCUUUCUUCUCUUUUUUUUCAUGUGGGCACCAAGUACUCCUAAUUCUACUAUUGGACAUGUGUCCAUUUUUUCCACUCACGUGGGUAUCUUUGUACCCCUAAUUCUACUUCGGACACUUGUCCACUUUUACCUCUCGUCUCACUCUUUUCUUCGAAUCAAAUUUUUGCAUAGUCCCAUGCCUCUAACGCAAUAAUACUUCAGAAGAGUGAAUCUUUUAUAUGUUUAAAACAAAAAGAUCUUGAUCUUUGGAGCAUGAUAAUUGUCUCAACCAAAACAACAAGAAUUAACAAUGGCUUGAACAAAGCAAGUGCCCACAGUUUUAAUAUUUAUAUCUUAUAAGACUCUAGGUAUUAUGUAAAAUAGGAUCUCAUCAUUUUUUUUGAAUUUUUAGAUUUUCAAAAGAUAAAAACUCCAGAACUCUAGCGAAACUUGGAACAAGUUAAAUAGUAGCUCAGACCUUCUCAUAUCAUGUUUGUCAAUUACCUAGACUUGGAUCAAACUUUCUUUUUAUUUUAUUUAAAACUUAGGAUUACACAAAACUAUUGUAUACUACUCAAAAGAAAAACUUUGUUUGGUUUCAUGGUUAUGCAUUUUUUUAUUUAUUUCUGAAUACUAGUAAAUAAAACCAAGAAAGAAAAGUAAUACUUAUUUAGAUUCACGUGGGGGUGCCUCCCCCAAGCUACAUGUUGACAUAGUCGUUCACUCUUGUGGCCUGCAUGUUCGGUCUCACUCUUCUUAAGCCUCAAAAUCCUGCACAACCCAAAUAGACAACAAAACUCGUGGAGCAUGUUAAGGGUUGGGUAAUUGUCUAGAGCUUAUGAGAGCUUAAUGUGAGAAUUCUAUGAACUCAAUCACAUCAAGUUCCUCUACCAGGUUGUUUUGUGGCUCGAGAUAGAUUUUCAAGCGUUGACCAUUUACUUUAAAAGUGUUACCUAUGUCGUCUUGGAUGGUAAUGGCUCCAUGAGUUGAAGUGUCAAUAACCUUGUAUGGUCCAUCCCACUUACUUCGUAGCUUACGAUGCCCAAAGAGCUUAACUCUUGAAUUGAAUAGUAGAACCUUAUCUCCAGGCUUAAACUCCUUGUGCUUGAUUCUCUUAUCAUGCCAUCGUUUUGUUCUCUCUUUAUAGAUCCUUGAAUUGCGGU
RNAcentral lists this long non-coding RNA (1800 nucleotides) under Sorghum bicolor (sorghum). Its description in RNAcentral is "long non-coding RNA (SBIC_LNC003056)". Lineage: Eukaryota; Viridiplantae; Streptophyta; Magnoliopsida; Poales; Poaceae. The record is from RNAcentral.